This 253-nucleotide ribosomal RNA is filed under the name uncultured bacterium. RNAcentral describes it as "partial 16S ribosomal RNA". It matches the Rfam family "Bacterial small subunit ribosomal RNA", at positions 524 to 776 of the family's 1533-position model. The record is from RNAcentral.
UACGAAGGGGGCUAGCGUUGCUCGGAAUUACUGGGCGUAAAGGGAGCGUAGGCGGAUAGUUUAGUCAGAGGUGGAAGCCCAGGGCUCAACCUUGGAAUUGCCUUUGAUACUGGCUAUCUUGAGUACGGAAGAGGUAUGUGGAACUCCGAGUGUAGAGGUGAAAUUCGUAGAUAUUCGGAAGAACACCAGUGGCGAAGGCGACAUACUGGUCCGUUACUGACGCUGAGGCUCGAAAGCGUGGGGAGCAAACAGG